UACGAAGGGGGCUAGCGUUGCUCGGAAUCACUGGGCGUACAGGGUGCGUAGGCGGGUCUUUAAGUCAGGGGUGAAAUCCUGGAGCUCAACUCCAGAACUGCCUUUGAUACUGAAGAUCUUGAGUUCGGGAGAGGUGAGUGGAACUGCGAGUGUAGAGGUGAAAUUCGUAGAUAUUCGCAAGAACACCAGUGGCGAAGGCGGCUCACUGGCCCGAUACUGACGCUGAGGCACGAAAGCGUGGGGAGCAAACAGG
Molecule: ribosomal RNA, 253 nt
Filed under: uncultured bacterium
Lineage: Bacteria
Description: partial 16S ribosomal RNA
Rfam family: Bacterial small subunit ribosomal RNA
Source: RNAcentral